CUGGCAAUGUUCUGUUUCUUGAGUAGGAAUUACAUGCGUUCACUUUGUGAUUCAAUGAGCUGUAGGUUUUGUGAUGGGUGUACUUUUCAGUAUGUGUUGUAUAUCUCAUGGUUUAAAAAAAUUUGCUGGAGUUAACAAGUUAGAAAAUAAGUCCCUGGGCAAUGCUGGAUAUACACUACCAACUACUACUUGCUAACUGAGCCCAUCUUUCUAUAUAUGCAUUACAAAUGUGAAAGAUAAGGUAGGCUUGAAUUCUAGGAGUGGCAAUGGUGAAGGAGAGGAGAGACAGAUGCACAAAAUACUGCAGAGCCUGAGGCAGUAUGGGAAGGUGAAGGAGCAUGGCAGUUGGAGUGAGGAGCCCCAAGUUCAAGACUUAACUGGUUUUUAGUCCAGGCUCUAGUCACUCUCUAAGCAUAUGACCUGGCCUAUCUCCUAACUUGCCUUAAUUUCAUUUUUCUCACCUGGAGGGUGGGGUUGAUAAAACUGACAAUCUUUCGUUUGUAACCUUUUGUAAGCUAUUGAAAUGCCAUAUAAAAUUUGUAUUGAUGUCUGAUUCAGUGUGAUGGGGAAGGAGUUAAGGAUGAUUGAGAUUUUGAGCCAGAGUGGAGAAGGUAAUGGUGGUAGCAUGAACGAAAUGAAAAAACCAAGAGGAGAAGCAGAUUUGGAGAAAUAUGACAUUCUAUUUUAUACAUGUUGAGUUUAAGAUCAUGCCAGAACAUCAAGAUGGAAUUAUGAAACAGACACAGAACUGAAGAUUUGGUGCUCUGAAAAAAAAGCCAAGUGCUUUGGAUCUGAAGGCUUGAGAGAGAGAUGGGAGUAACUCUCUGUGAUUCACAGUGACUUGCUGUUCUUGGCCGCUUGUUUCAUGUACUGCCUGGAACCGCCAUUAACUGCAACCAACGUUUUGUCUGUGCAGUUCCUGCGCAAUUUGGAAACCAUGAACUCUUUAGGAAUGGCAGGAAUAUUUGCCCUGAGCUAACAUCUGUGCCAGUCUUCCUCUGUUUUGUGUGUGGGUCGCCACCAAAGCUUGGCCGCCAGCAAGUGAUAAGAUUAGCCCUGAGCUAACUACUGCCAAUCCUCCUCUUUUUGCUGAGGAAGACUGGCCCUGAGCUAACAGCCAUGCCCAUCUUCCUCUACUUUAUACGUGAGACGCCUACCACAGCAUGGCUUUUGCCAAGUGGUGCCAUAUCCGCACCCGGGAUCCACAUCGGUGAACCCCAGGCCGCCAAGCGGAACUUGCGAACUUAACCACUGCACCACCGGGCCAGCCCCUGACUGCCCUUUCUUCCAUGCUGAUUUCCUUUUAGGAGUGAAAGCCACGCACAACAGGUAGACAGACUCACAUGUGGAAGAUUUCAGAGGUCUUGUCCUCUGCUUUUCUGUUAAGGCAGCCAGAGUCCCAAGGCAGGUGUUGAAGCUAUACUGCACCUUAAGGAAACCAUAGAACAGUGAACCAAUACAAUUCCAGACCUAACUCACCAAGCUCUGGUUCUCCAACAAGUCAUUUGACCAUUGUUACACGUAUUUGUGUCAGUUACUGUUCCAGAUAACUGAGCUGAUAUUCUUAUCUCACUUUCAGAACAUAGAUUAAGAACUCACCCUUGAAGGCAUUAUGCUAAGUGAAAUAAGUCAGACAAAAAGACAAAUACUGUAUGAUCUCACUUCUAUGUAGAAUCUCAAAAAACAAAACUCAUAGAAACAGUAGAUUGGUGGUUGCCAGGGGUUGGUGAGGGGGAGUGUGAUGGAGAGGGUGGAAUGGGUAAAGAUGGUCAAAGGAUACAAACUUCCGGUUAUAAGAUGAAUAAGUUCUGGGGAUCUAAUGUGCAGUAUAGUGACUGGUUAACAAUACUGUAUUGUAUACUUGAACGUUGCUAAGGGAGUAGUUCUUAAAUGUUCUCACCACAAAAAAAUCCAAAGUAACUGUGAGAUAAUGUUGUGUUAACUAACCUUAUUGUAGUAAUCAUUUCACAAUAUAUAUGUAUAUCAAAUUAUCAUGUUGUAUACCUUAAACUUACACAAUGUUAUGUCAAUGAUAUCUCAGUAAAGCUGAGGCGGGAGAAGCAGCUCAGUCAUAACAUACUGACUUCCAUCCUCCUCCUUCCUGCAUCCGGACUCCACCCUGUUGAGUUACAUCCCCCUCAAUUAGAAGCCAUGCCUGUGCAGCUCAGGAAAUGGAGUAAGUGCAAGGUAGAAACAUCCCCCAACUAAAACUGAGCUUGCUUUCUCCUUUCUCUUCCCAAGGACAUGCCAAGUUUGCAAUAUAAGGGAGCUUGGGACAACCGUCUACUCCCAAGCUGGUUCUAACCAUGGAGCUUUAAGAAUACUUAUAUAUAGUAUGGCAGCGUUUAACAAAAGACCAACCCUGAAAUGUGUGGAGGGAAGAGACCAGAUUCUACAAGCACUUGGAGUUAAAGCAAGACUUGAAUCCAAGAAAGGGUCCAUCCAUUGAGGCCUUAAGUGGGAUCUGGGUAUUUACACUCCCUUUAUUUCGCCUCACCCACCCAUCCACUCAAUUAAAAAGCACCAUCCUUAGGCAAAUCUAGACUCAACUAUGCUUAAAACUAUCCCUUGCUUAUUAGCCCACAGAGUGGGUCAUGUGAGACAGACUUGCAGCUCCAUGGUACACUUUCCCUGCCCCUGGAUUUCUGCAUCUCCAGGCCAGAAAAAGUUAACCCGACAGUUAAAGAGCACAAACUCCACUUUUAUCCACAGAGAUGUCCUUUGACCAGGCAAAAGCACAGAAUCAUUGAAGAAGCUAUACUAUGUUUGAUUCUGAAAAAAGAUUUGGUACUCAAGCCCAAAGAGAUGGAAAACUAGGAAAUGAGAAAUUGAGUUUCAAGUUAGAGAAAGAGAACACUUACAGAUUAUUUAAGGGCAUAAAUUCCAAAACGCCCCACCCCAACCUCCUGAGAAGGCUUUCAAUAGGAUGGGAAGCUGAAAGCUGCUUUUCCCGACCAGCUAACCCACCACUCCCUGCAACAGGCAAACAGUAGGCAAGGUAAUGUAUUAGUAAAACAUUGAAGCCCAAAGUCUUGGUGUAAAUUUAGAUUUUUAAUUUUUCACUUGUACUAAAAAUUGAUUUGUCUGCCCUUCUGCCAUCUGUACAAACAUUCAUGCAGCACCUAGAAGAAAGUACUUAGGUAUCCCUCUUCCCAUUAAACUCUUCAAAUGAAACUCAUUUUGCUUUCUUCUUCCAAGGUACCAUCUUUCUCCAUUAGUACAGGCUCAAAACUCUUCAUUUUUUGUUUAGUUUUUAUUUCAUAAUCAUAAACUUAGCUCUGCAGUGCACCUGGAUUUGGAAGGGAAUAAGAACAUGGAACCCAAAGAGCUGCAGUGAGAGUACAAAGAUUAUAGGAUAUAGUGAGCAGAUGAGGGUGGUAGAUGCUCUCCUGAGCUGCAGAAGGAAUGAUCUAGAGGUUAAGAUAAAACAUGUCAAAUUUACUGGAGUUGUCCAUAGUCAGCAAUAGUUAGCCUCUUGAUGGUCCUGCCAUUCCUGGACUAAAGCACUCCAUGGCUUCCUCUUCUGCCCUACCAAAGACCACGUUUGCCAUCCAACUACUCAGUCUUGGCACUGCAGAUGAAAACAGUUCUGGGAACCAUUUGUGUUGGGUCCAGCGUUUGCAAUGAACAAGAAACUGGGACCACAUGCUUCGGGAUGAAACUCUCAUCAUCAAGUUUCUCCCUGCAGGUGGGCUUGCUGCCGGUGCCAUUAUGGCAUGUGAAGUCACCACUCUGGAACAUAAACCCUGGAAUAAGUCUGUGACAGCGGGAAACUUUAUAACUAAAUCCUUUCUCCCCACUGCUCAAGAGCAUGAAAGUUUUCUGCUGCCUUUGGAACUGUGUCUGCAAACAGCUCAAAAGAGACGGCCUGAGGGCUCGCCAUGGACAUCAAUGUCGGAAGAACACUGGGGUUGACCAUAGCUCGGUGGCACUGACAGCAGUGUCUGCAAAGCCAAACAUUCUUCAUUCUUUAAUCCAAAUUGCUUCUCCUCCCUGAAAAGAAAUCUAUUUUAUUUAUGCCUUUAUCUCCACAAGCAAGGACUUUACCCUAAAUAAGACUAUCACUUUUCUUUCAGAUUACUGAGUCUUGUUCUCUUUGAAUUUAACCUUCCCUUCCUGCCCCCAGACCGUCCUGCCUGCCUACCACUGUUGUCUUCGUCAGAUAUUGCUUUCAGCUUGAGACUCCGCUGAGCAUUACCCUACAGGGUACCUAUGUGG
RNAcentral lists this long non-coding RNA (4218 nucleotides) under Equus asinus (donkey). Its description in RNAcentral is "lncRNA (ENSEASG00005031747.1)". The record is from RNAcentral. Lineage: Eukaryota; Metazoa; Chordata; Mammalia; Perissodactyla; Equidae.